GGGCUAGUGGCGCAAUUGGACGAGACGCGGGAGACUUAAAAUCUCUUACAGAUUAAUGAUCACACUAUGGGUUCGAGUCCCAUCUGGCCUA
Molecule: transfer RNA, 91 nt
Filed under: Enterococcus sp.
Lineage: Bacteria; Bacillati; Bacillota; Bacilli; Lactobacillales; Enterococcaceae
Description: tRNA-Leu
Rfam family: tRNA
About the family: Transfer RNA (tRNA) molecules are approximately 80 nucleotides in length.
Source: RNAcentral